RNAcentral lists this long non-coding RNA (1334 nucleotides) under Brachypodium distachyon (stiff brome). Its description in RNAcentral is "long non-coding RNA (BDIS_LNC006038)". Lineage: Eukaryota; Viridiplantae; Streptophyta; Magnoliopsida; Poales; Poaceae. The record is from RNAcentral.
UUCAAUACAACUGUUGUAAUGCGACUAGUUGAUUCUACACUUUAUCAAGACAAGUAUUCACAUUCAGGUCAGGACAACAUUCCCUUCAAAACAACACUAUGGCUUCACUCAUGGUAGCAUUGGAACUCUGUUCUUCUUCUUUCUUAUCUUCUCAAGAGUAGUUUGUGACUGAGCCAUCGGUAGCCAUCCAGAUUCUGAGUUUCCAAUGUCUGUAGCCACCUUCUCUCGGUAAUUAGCGAAUUCCUGUGACGGUGCAACAUUGUUGGUUUAGUUCGCUAUAAGAUGAUAGAUGUGUCCAGAUGAGGUUAUGAAGCUAUAACAGAAAUUGGAUGGCAAGGAAAAAAUUGAGUUAGAAUAAAACAACAAGUUUCAGAAGCCAUAGUUAAUGAGAUAUAUAGGCCAUGUGUCCCAGAUUACACAGGCCAAUGAGCUACUGUACUGUUAUUUCAAAUUUUGUUGUAAUCAGUCCUUCCGAGUGUUGAACAAUCCUUUUGAUUUUUUUUUAUAUGUUCAUGUGUAACAGACAUGUAGGCCUUCAAAUUAUAAAUGCUUCAGUUUUAUCUGCCUUACUUUUUUUUCUAAAGCAAAAUAACAGAUUAUGUUAGGCUAUAUGUAAUCUAUAAAAGUAAAUAUGAAGUUAUGUGGAUCCAGUACAUACACAAAAUAUCAGACAUGUAGACCUUCAAAUAUGAAGCAAAUUUACUUGCCAACGUGAGGAUGAAAACAUGCCAGAUCAUCAAUAGAAGGACAAACGAUAUAUUGUGCAAGGCAGCUAUAGUUGAAGGUUAACAGAGAAUUGAGAUAUAAAAUCAAGCCUGGCAACCUGGUUUACCUGGUGCAAACGAGCUCUUUUCUGAACUUCAUGAGCUCAAUGCUUUUUCCACCACGAGCUCCCAAGGCUCUUGCUGCAAAAGGUAACACACCAAGAAUUAACUAUAUGAAAGGCCUAAGAAGAAACUUGAGAUAGUCACGCGAAUCCAACACAAAGUUAGGCACUAUGAUCACACACAAGCGUUUUAAAAACUAAUGGAAUCAAAAAAUUCAUUAGCAGCGUACAAGCAUGAAAUAAAUAAUCAACAUCUGGUGACAUAGACUCAUUUAACUAUACGUACCUAUGCCAUUUUCACUUAUCGAUCUGUAGAAGGAUAUCAGCCUGCAAUACUAUAGGACUGACACUUCCAUUGUUGCCAACAUGAGAGAAGCUACCUGAGCCCAUUACCGAGCAAAUGAAAGAGUUAAAACUCAUUUCACCGUGUAAACCAUUUCUGAUUAUCAUUAGGACGAAAUACUAAUCCCAGAUGCUAGUAAUGCAUGCAGUUCUAGUUGACCAAGGA